This 619-nucleotide long non-coding RNA is filed under the name Capsicum annuum. RNAcentral describes it as "long non-coding RNA (CANN_LNC019012)". The record is from RNAcentral. Lineage: Eukaryota; Viridiplantae; Streptophyta; Magnoliopsida; Solanales; Solanaceae.
UUAGAACAACAAUACCAUCGAGAGGAGAUAAACACCACCAACAACCAGUAACUCUUCCACCUUAACCAAUAACAACAGAACUCAUACAAGAAAGAGAUAGAACAAUAAAAAUACAACAUAAACAUAUAGAGAAUGGAAAUAAAAAAUAGAGGAAAAAUGAGGAGCGAAUAACAACAUAACAACGACAAUGCUAUUUCCUCGACCUCUUUCCUCCCUUAACAAAAACAACCAAAACUUUCGCCAUCAUCAAUGAUUCCGUGAAUACCACUUAGCACACCAUGGAUGUGGGAUAAGCUUCUCCUCGCAGCUCUAUUUUUUGGCGACCCAAAACCCCCUUCUUCCUCAUUUUUUUCCAGCAACCAAACACCCAUUAUUAUCGCUGUUACAUUUUUUAUGGUAGAUACACUCCCUAGACCUAUAAUCCCACUAAAUCGACCGUUCCAUUCCUGUUCUGAUGAAAUUUUGUCGGAUUGAGUUUGAUUUUAGUGUUUCUUAGUUAAAUUUGUUUGAUUUCUCUUUUGGGUCAUCAAUCAAGGUUAUCUUUCGGACUAGUUGAUUUUGGUUUUUUGGGUUAGUGCGAUUGGAUUUGAGUAGUUCGUCGUGAGUCUUUUGUCUGAGG